AUUGAACGCUGGCGGCAGGCCUAACACAUGCAAGUCGAGCGGAUGAAGGGAGCUUGCUCCUGGAUUCAGCGGCGGACGGGUGAGUAAUGCCUAGGAAUCUGCCUGGUAGUGGGGGAUAACGUCCGGAAACGGGCGCUAAUACCGCAUACGUCCUGCGGGGGAAAGUGGGGGAUCUUCGGACCUCACGCUAUCAGAUGAGCCUAGGUCGGAUUAGCUAGUUGGUGGGGUAAGGGCCUACCAAGGCGACGAUCCGUAACUGGUCUGAGAGGAUGAUCAGUCACACGGGAAGUGAGACACGGUCCAGAGUCCUACGGGAGGCAGCAGUGGGGAAUAUGGGACAAUGGGCGAAAGCCUGAUCCAGCCAUGCCGCGUGUGUGAAGAAGGUCUUCGGAUUGUAAAGCACUUUAAGUUGGGAGGAAGGGCAUUAAGUUAAUACCUUGCUGGUUUGACGGUACCAACAGAAUAAGCACCGGCUAACUUCGUG
This 484-nucleotide ribosomal RNA is filed under the name uncultured bacterium. Its description in RNAcentral is "partial 16S ribosomal RNA". It matches the Rfam family "Bacterial small subunit ribosomal RNA", at positions 30 to 507 of the family's 1533-position model. The record is from RNAcentral.